CAUAGCGACUAUCGUGGCAUAUCAAUAAGCGGAGGAAAAGAAACUAACAAGGAUUCCCCUAGUAACGGCGAGUGAAGCGGGAAGAGCUCAAAUUUGAAAUCUUAAAGGGUUUCCCUUUACGAAUUGUAGUUUAAAGAAGUGUUUUCUGUUGGAGUUUCGGUAAAAGUUCUUUGGAAUAGGACAUCAUAGAGGGUGAGAAUCCCGUAUUUGACCGUUACUUUCCAGCUGUGUGAUACACUUUCAAAGAGUCGGAUUGUUUGGGAAUGCAGUCCAAGAUGGGUGGUAAAUUUCAUCUAAAGCUAAGUAUUGGCGAGAGACCGAUAGCGAACAAGUACCGUGAGGGAAAGAUGAAAAGAACUUUGAAAAGAGAGUUAAACAGUACGUGAAAUUGUCAAAAGGGAAGCGUUUGACACCAGUGUUGUUUAGUUGAAAAUCAAUUCAAUAGUUUUUGAUUCUAAGUAGUAUUGACUUCAUCAGCUUGCUGCUUUCUUUUCGGAAAUUAUUGAAUGCACUCUUCAGUUAACAAGUCAACAUCAAUUUCUUUUGUUGUAAAAGGGUAAGAGGAAGGUGGCUUACGCUUCGGCGUAAGUGUUUAUAGCCUUUUACCUCUGCAAUCGGAGAGAUUGAGGACAGCAGCGUAGACUCUUCGGGGUCAGAUACACUUGUGCUAAGCUAUAGCCUUGUAUAGACAACUUGUUGACUAUGCUCAGUCAUGUAGCUUACUCGCUUGUGCUAUUUUACCUACGCUUAGGAUGUUGACGCGCGUGUGUGCGUG
This 775-nucleotide ribosomal RNA is filed under the name uncultured Neocallimastigales. RNAcentral describes it as "partial large subunit ribosomal RNA". It matches the Rfam family "Eukaryotic large subunit ribosomal RNA", at positions 22 to 639 of the family's 3401-position model. The record is from RNAcentral. Lineage: Eukaryota; Fungi; Neocallimastigomycota; Neocallimastigomycetes; Neocallimastigales.